GAUGAACGCUGGCGGCGUGCCUAAUACAUUCAAGUCGAGCGAACAGACGAGGAGCUUGCUCCUCUGACGUUAGCGGCGGACGGGUGAGUAACACGUGGAUAACCUACCUAUAAGACUGGGAUAACUUCGGGAAACCGGAGCUAAUACCGGAUAAUAUAUUGAACCGCAUGGUUCAAUAGUGAAAGACGGUUUUGCUUUCACUUAUAGAUGGAUCCGCGCCGCAUUAGCUAGUUGGUAAGGUAACGGCUUACCAAGGCAACGAUGCGUAGCCGACCUGAGAGGGUGAUCGGCCACACUGGAACUGAGACACGGGCCAGAAUCCUACGGGAGGCAGCAGUAGGGAAUCUUCCGCAAUGGGAGAAAGCUUGACGGAGCAACGACGCGUGAGUGAUGAAGGUCUUCGGAUCGUAAAACUCUGUUAUUAGGGAAGAACAAAUGUGUAAGUAACUAUGCACGUCUUGACGGUACCUAAUCAGAAAGCCACGGCUAACUACGU
Molecule: ribosomal RNA, 496 nt
Filed under: uncultured bacterium
Lineage: Bacteria
Description: partial 16S ribosomal RNA
Rfam family: Bacterial small subunit ribosomal RNA
Source: RNAcentral